CCUACGGGUGGCUGCAGUGGGGAAUAUUGGACAAUGGGCGAAAGCCUGAUCCAGCCAUGCCGCGUGUGUGAAGAAGGCCUUCGGGUUGUAAAGCACUUUCAGUGGGGAAGAAAGCCUUGUGGCUAAUACCCUCGAGGAAGGACAUCACCCACAGAAGAAGCACCGGCUAACUCCGUGCCAGCAGCCGCGGUAAUACGGAGGGUGCGAGCGUUAAUCGGAAUUACUGGGCGUAAAGCGCGCGUAGGCGGUCUGAUAAGCCGGUUGUGAAAGCCCCGGGCUCAACCUGGGAACGGCAUCCGGAACUGUCAGGCUAGAGUGCAGGAGAGGAAGGUAGAAUUCCCUGUGUAGCGGUGAAAUGCGUAGAGAUCGGGAGGAAUACCAGUGGCGAAGGCGGCCUUCUGGACUGAAACUGACGCUGAGGUGCGAAAGCGUGGGUAGCAAACAGGAUUAGAUACCCCAGUAGUC
RNAcentral lists this ribosomal RNA (465 nucleotides) under Vreelandella stevensii. RNAcentral's name for it is "partial 16S ribosomal RNA". It matches the Rfam family "Bacterial small subunit ribosomal RNA", at positions 338 to 795 of the family's 1533-position model. The record is from RNAcentral. Lineage: Bacteria; Pseudomonadati; Pseudomonadota; Gammaproteobacteria; Oceanospirillales; Halomonadaceae.